CAGUAGCCGCGGGAAUACGGAGGGUGCAAGCGUUAAUCGGAAUUACUGGGCGUAAAGCGCACGCAGGCGGUCUGUCAAGUCGGAUGUGAAAGCCCCGGGCUCAACCUGGGAAUGGCAAUGGAUACUGGCGAGCUAGAGUGUGUCAGAGGAUGGUGGAAUUCCCGGUGUAGCGGUGAAAUGCGUAGAGAUCGGGAGGAACAUCAGUGGCGAAGGCGGCCAUCUGGGACAACACUGACGCUGAGGCACGAAAGCGUGGGGAGCAAACAGGAUUAGAUACCCCCGUAGUCCCUGUCUCUUAUAC
RNAcentral lists this ribosomal RNA (301 nucleotides) under uncultured bacterium. Its description in RNAcentral is "partial 16S ribosomal RNA". It matches the Rfam family "Bacterial small subunit ribosomal RNA", at positions 509 to 807 of the family's 1533-position model. The record is from RNAcentral.